This is a long non-coding RNA of Cuculus canorus (common cuckoo), 952 nucleotides long. RefSeq lists it as uncharacterized. The record is from RefSeq and is a predicted model, not a curated record. The transcript has 4 exons. NCBI's taxonomy places the organism in Eukaryota, Metazoa, Chordata, Aves, Cuculiformes, Cuculidae.
AUUUAAAAAAUGACAGAGCCUGAAGAAAAUGGGAAUUCAAAGUCUGACUCCAAGUUUCCUCGUGAACCGUUCUGCUCCUUUGCCUCUGUAGAAUGGGACAGGGCCAGAGAGCACUUGCUGUGGUCCAGAAGGGCUCUAGAAGUUAUGACUUACCUCUGCCAGCCUAAAGUGUCUGUGUUGCCUAUGUCCUGUGAAACAGUCUGUGCAUGGAGAGAGGCUGUUGGAAGUAUGUCAUCCAGUCCCUGCUCUGAGCUAGAGUCUUGUACAAGGUGAAAAAAAGAAUCCUUGCUUUCCAGGAGAUGGUGAAUCUAGGUGAGAAUUAUGCAAUACUGUGAAGAUGACUCUCAGAGCAGAAUAUUGAUUGACUACUUCGUAAACACACCAUCUUCAGUCAAGAUAACAGCUUGCAAACCCCAGAAUAAUUUGUUUCUGACAACUGAUUCAGGAAACUUUGAGAUGCAAUGUUUUGACUCCUGUUUAGAAUGAAGACUUAUUUGGAAAUGUGGGAAUUUCCUCCCCAUAGGACAAAAUGUCCGUGUUUUUAUCAGCUGUUGAAGAACUGUGGCACUCUCUGACAGUGGAGACUUUAUGCCAGAUCAGUACCUCAAGGGCAAGAGAAAGAGAUCAUCAAGAUACUUAAGCAGACCAUCUCACAUCUUCUCCUGCUGGCUUGGUCUUCUUUGACACAUGAUUUAUUUUUAAAAUUCUGUUUCUUUUCCUUUCCUAAGGCAAGUUUAUGAGCAUACAAUUAUUAUCUUUCUGUGGGAUCUCAGGCAGAAUCCAGGUGGCUGAAAUAUCUGCAAGUAGCUAGGUGAAGUCAAAGUUAUGCCUGAGUAUUGUGUUGACCUCAUCUAAUAUGCUUUUGAGUAUUUGGUUAUAGAUUAAAUAAUGUGAGUAUUAUUCUGUAAUAGAAGUGUGCUUCUUAUUGUUAGUUAAGAACAAUGUCUUGUGU